GUUGAGGUGGCAGAGCCCGGUAAUUGCAUAAAACUUAAAACUUUAUCACCAGAGGUUCAACUCCUCUCCUUAACA
This 75-nucleotide transfer RNA is filed under the name Plecturocebus bernhardi (Prince Bernhard's titi). Its description in RNAcentral is "tRNA-Leu". It matches the Rfam family "tRNA". From Rfam's summary of the family: Transfer RNA (tRNA) molecules are approximately 80 nucleotides in length. Their secondary structure includes four short double-helical elements and three loops (D, anti-codon, and T loops). RNAcentral also lists the same sequence under 1 other name. The record is from RNAcentral. Lineage: Eukaryota; Metazoa; Chordata; Mammalia; Primates; Pitheciidae.